RNAcentral lists this transfer RNA (95 nucleotides) under Methylibium sp. T29-B. RNAcentral's name for it is "tRNA-Ala". Lineage: Bacteria; Pseudomonadati; Pseudomonadota; Betaproteobacteria; Burkholderiales; Sphaerotilaceae. The record is from RNAcentral.
CCCAGCACCGGGCGGCGCGCGGCGGCAUGGCGCGCCAGCGCCGCGUCGAUGCGCUGCUCGCGCAGCCAGGCCAGGUCGCCGCUGGUGUGCUUGGA